This 433-nucleotide ribosomal RNA is filed under the name uncultured bacterium. RNAcentral's name for it is "partial 16S ribosomal RNA". It matches the Rfam family "Bacterial small subunit ribosomal RNA", at positions 29 to 507 of the family's 1533-position model. The record is from RNAcentral.
AACGAACGCUGGCGGCAGGCCUAACACAUGCAAGUCGAGCGAGGACUUCGGUCCUAGCGGCGGACGGGUGAGUAACGCAUGGGAACGUGCCCUUUGCUUCGGAAUAGCCCUGGGAAACUGGGAGUAAUACCGGAUGAGCCCUUUGGGGGAAAGAUUUAUCGGCGAAGGAUCGGCCCGCGUUGGAUUAGGUAGUUGGUGGGGUAAUGGCCUACCAAGCCGACGAUCCAUAGCUGGUUUGAGAGGAUGAUCAGCCACACUGGGACUGAGACACGGCCCAGACUCCUACGGGAGGCAGCAGUGGGGAAUCUUAGACAAUGGGGGAAACCCUGAUCUAGCCAUGCCGCGUGAGCGAUGAAGGCCUUAGGGUUGUAAAGCUCUUUCAGCUGGGAAGAUAAUGACGGUACCAGCAGAAGAAGCCCCGGCUAACUCCGUG